RNAcentral lists this ribosomal RNA (1440 nucleotides) under uncultured organism. Its description in RNAcentral is "SSU rRNA". It matches the Rfam family "Bacterial small subunit ribosomal RNA". The record is from RNAcentral.
GGAUGAACGCUAGCUACAGGCUUAACACAUGCAAGUCGCGGGGCAGCAUGGUCUUAGCUUGCUAAGACUGAUGGCGACCGGCGCACGGGUGAGUAACACGUAUCCAACCUGCCGUCUACUCUUGGACAGCCUUCUGAAAGGAAGAUUAAUACAAGAUGGCAUCAUGAGUCCGCAUGUUCACAUGAUUAAAGGUAUUCCGGUAGACGAUGGGGAUGCGUUCCAUUAGAUAGUAGGCGGGGUAACGGCCCACCUAGUCUUCGAUGGAUAGGGGUUCUGAGAGGAAGGUCCCCCACAUUGGAACUGAGACACGGUCCAAACUCCUACGGGAGGCAGCAGUGAGGAAUAUUGGUCAAUGGGCGAGAGCCUGAACCAGCCAAGUAGCGUGAAGGAUGACUGCCCUAUGGGUUGUAAACUUCUUUUAUAAAGGAAUAAAGUCGGGUAUGGAUACCCGUUUGCAUGUACUUUAUGAAUAAGGAUCGGCUAACUCCGUGCCAGCAGCCGCGGUAAUACGGAGGAUCCGAGCGUUAUCCGGAUUUAUUGGGUUUAAAGGGAGCGUAGAUGGAUGUUUAAGUCAGUUGUGAAAGUUUGCGGCUCAACCGUAAAAUUGCAGUUGAUACUGGAUAUCUUGAGUGCAGUUGAGGCAGGCGGAAUUCGUGGUGUAGCGGUGAAAUGCUUAGAUAUCACGAAGAACUCCGAUUGCGAAGGCAGCCUGCUAAGCUGCAACUGACAUUGAGGCUCGAAAGUGUGGGUAUCAAACAGGAUUAGAUACCCUGGUAGUCCACACGGUAAACGAUGAAUACUCGCUGUUUGCGAUAUACGGCAAGCGGCCAAGCGAAAGCGCUAAGUAUUCCACCUGGGGAGUACGCCGGCAACGGUGAAACUCAAAGGAAUUGACGGGGGCCCGCACAAGCGGAGGAACAUGUGGUUUAAUUCGAUGAUACGCGAGGAACCUUACCCGGGCUUAAAUUGCAGAUGAAUUACGGUGAAAGCCGUAAGCCGCAAGGCAUCUGUGAAGGUGCUGCAUGGUUGUCGUCAGCUCGUGCCGUGAGGUGUCGGCUUAAGUGCCAUAACGAGCGCAACCCUUGUUGUCAGUUACUAACAGGUUCCGCUGAGGACUCUGACAAGACUGCCAUCGUAAGAUGUGAGGAAGGUGGGGAUGGCGUCAAAUCAGCACGGCCCUUACGUCCGGGGCUACACACGUGUUACAAUGGGGGGUACAGAGGGCCGCUACCACGCGAGUGGAUGCCAAUCCCAAAAACCUCUCUCAGUUCGGACUGGAGUCUGCAACCCGACUCCACGAAGCUGGAUUCGCUAGUAAUCGCGCAUCAGCCACGGCGCGGUGAAUACGUUCCCGGGCCUUGUACACACCGCCCGUCAAGCCAUGGGAGCCGGGGGUACCUGAAGUGCGUAACCGCGAGGAGCGCCCUAGGGUAAAACUGG